AUUGAACGCUGGCGGCAUGCCUUACACAUGCAAGUCGAACGGCAGCACGGGAGCAAUCCUGAUGGCGAGUGGCGAACGGGUGAGUGAUGUAUCGGAACGUGCCCAGUCGUGGGGGAUAACGUAGCGAAAGCUACGCUAAUACCGCAUACGAUCUAUGGAUGAAAGCGGGGGAUCGCAAGACCUCGCGCGAUUGGAGCGGCCGAUAUCAGAUUAGGUAGUUGGUGGGGUAAGGGCUCACCAAGCCGACGAUCUGUAGCUGGUCUGAGAGGACGACCAGCCACACUGGGACUGAGACACGGCCCAGACUCCUACGGGAGGCAGCAGUGGGGAAUUUUGGACAAUGGGCGCAAGCCUGAUCCAGCAAUGCCGCGUGCAGGAUGAAGGCCUUCGGGUUGUAAACUGCUUUUGUACGGAACGAAACGGCGAGCUCUAAUACAGUUUGCUAAUGACGGUACCGUAAGAAUAAGCACCGGCUAACUACAUGCCAGCCGCCGCGGUAA
RNAcentral lists this ribosomal RNA (500 nucleotides) under uncultured bacterium. RNAcentral's name for it is "partial 16S ribosomal RNA". It matches the Rfam family "Bacterial small subunit ribosomal RNA", at positions 30 to 523 of the family's 1533-position model. The record is from RNAcentral.